Molecule: transfer RNA, 73 nt
Filed under: Canis lupus familiaris (dog)
Lineage: Eukaryota; Metazoa; Chordata; Mammalia; Carnivora; Canidae
Also listed under: 1 other name
Rfam family: tRNA
About the family: Transfer RNA (tRNA) molecules are approximately 80 nucleotides in length. Their secondary structure includes four short double-helical elements and three loops (D, anti-codon, and T loops).
Source: Rfam by way of RNAcentral
GCCUGGCUGGUUCAGUUGGUAGAGCAUGUGGCUCCUGAUCUCAUAGUCAUGAGUUCAAACCCCAUGCUGGUCA